AUUGAACGCUGGCGGAAUGCUUUACACAUGCAAGUCGAACGGCAGCACGGGGGCAACCCUGGUGGCGAGUGGCGAACGGGUGAGUAAUACAUCGGAACGUGCCCGGGCGAGGGGGAUAACGUAGCGAAAGUUACGCUAAUACCGCAUACGAUCUGAGGAUGAAAGCGGGGGACCUUCGGGCCUCGAGCGAUCGGAGCGGCCGAUGUCAGAUUAGGUAGUUGGUGGGUGAAAGGCCUACCAAGCCGAGUAUCUGUAGCUGGUCUGAGAGGAGGACCAGCCACACUGGGACUGAGACACGGCCCAGACUCCUACGGGGGGCAGCAGUGGGGAAUUUUGGACAAUGGGCGCAAGCCUGAUCCAGCCAUUCCGCGUGCAGGACGAAGGCCUUCGGGUUGUAAACUGCUUUUGUAUGGAACGAAAAGUCUCUGGCUAAUACCUGCGGAUCAUGACGGUACCGUAAGAAUAAGCACCGGCUAACUACGUG
This 484-nucleotide ribosomal RNA is filed under the name uncultured bacterium. RNAcentral's name for it is "partial 16S ribosomal RNA". It matches the Rfam family "Bacterial small subunit ribosomal RNA", at positions 30 to 507 of the family's 1533-position model. The record is from RNAcentral.